AGUGAACGCUGGCGGCGUGCCUAAUACAUGCAAGUCGAACGCGAAAGUCCUUCGGGAUGAGUAAAGUGGCGCACGGUGAGUAAUGGUUGAGAACAUGCCCUGAGGUGGGGAAUAACAGUUGGAAACGACUGCUAAUACCGCAUGGUUUCGAAAGAAUAAAGGUGGGGACCGCAAGGCCUACCGCCACAGGAUUGGCUCAACUCCCAUUAGCUAGUUGGCAGGGUAAUAGCCUACCAAGGCAACGAUGGGUAUGUGGUCUUAGAGGAUGAUCACACACACUGGAACUGAGACACGGUCCAGACUCCUACGGGAGGCAG
RNAcentral lists this ribosomal RNA (317 nucleotides) under uncultured Pseudomonadota bacterium. Its description in RNAcentral is "bacterial SSU rRNA". It matches the Rfam family "Bacterial small subunit ribosomal RNA", at positions 29 to 351 of the family's 1533-position model. Lineage: Bacteria; Pseudomonadati; Pseudomonadota. The record is from RNAcentral.